AGUGAACGCUGGCGGUAGGCCUAACACAUGCAAGUCGAACGGCAGCACAGUAAGAGCUUGCUCUUACGGGUGGCGAGUGGCGGACGGGUGAGAAAUAAAUCGGAAUCUACUUUUUCGUGGGGGAUAACGUAGGGAAACUUACGCUAAUACCGCAUACGACCUACGGGUGAAAGCAGGGGAUCUUCGGACCUUGCGCGAUUGAAUGAGCCGAUGUCGGAUUAGCUAGUUGGCGGGGUAAAGGCCCACCAAGGCGACGAUCCGUAGCUGGUCUGAGAGGAUGAUCAGCCACACUGGAACUGAGACACGGUCCAGACUCCUACGGGAGGCAGCAGUGGGGAAUAUUGGACAAUGGGCGCAAGCCUGAUCCAGCCAUACCGCGUGGGUGAAGAAGGCCUUCGGGUUGUAAAGCCCUUUUGUUGGGAAAGAAAAGCAGCAGGUUAAUACCCCGCUGUUCUGACGGUACCCAAAGAAUAAGCACCGGCUAACUUCGUG
Molecule: ribosomal RNA, 492 nt
Filed under: uncultured bacterium
Lineage: Bacteria
Description: partial 16S ribosomal RNA
Rfam family: Bacterial small subunit ribosomal RNA
Source: RNAcentral